CUGAACUGUCAGUGGGAGAAAUUGGAGCGGGGCGUGGCACGGGCCCGGGCGGGCUCCCUGUGCGCUGUAGCCUGGGGCACUGCUAGACCCAGGUGCUGCUGGGAGAGGAAUGAGCGUUGUAAAUGGUGAGCGGUGGUUACAGAAGCCUCUGUCCUUCCACGCCGAGAGAAGUCCCACUGAAAAAUGACUGCAGUGUGCCACAGGAGACGGAGGGGAUUUCCCCAGCUGAACUGGAGCAGGUCUGGGUUGAUCCAGAGACAGAGCAUCAGGGUCUCCUGCAAUGCCCAGUUCAGGAGCAGCCACACUAAGCAACAGCUUCUCAUGUGAGAGGCAGAGCUCCAGCACUCUGCUG
RNAcentral lists this long non-coding RNA (352 nucleotides) under Macaca nemestrina (pig-tailed macaque). Its description in RNAcentral is "lncRNA (ENSMNEG00000046040.1)". Lineage: Eukaryota; Metazoa; Chordata; Mammalia; Primates; Cercopithecidae. The record is from RNAcentral.